This 253-nucleotide ribosomal RNA is filed under the name uncultured bacterium. Its description in RNAcentral is "partial 16S ribosomal RNA". It matches the Rfam family "Bacterial small subunit ribosomal RNA", at positions 524 to 776 of the family's 1533-position model. The record is from RNAcentral.
UACGGAGGGUGCAAGCGUUAUCCGGAUUCACUGGGUUUAAAGGGUGCGUAGGCGGAUUAGAAAGUCCGUUGUGAAAUCUCUGAGCUUAACUCGGAAAUUGCGGUGGAUACUAUUAGCCUUGAAUACUGUGGAGGUUAGCGGAAUAUGUCAUGUAGCGGUGAAAUGCAUAGAUAUGACAUAGAACACCAAUUGCGAAGGCAGCUGGCUACACAGAUAUUGACGCUGAGGCACGAAAGCGUGGGGAUCAAACAGG